AACGCGAAGAACCUUACCUGGGUUUGACAUCCGUAGAUAGCCGUAGAGAUACGGUUUCCCCUUCGGGGGCUACGAGACAGGUGCUGCAUGGCUGUCGUCAGCUCGUAUCGUGAGAUGUCGGGUUAAGUCCCUUAACGAGCGCAACCCCUAUCCCUAGUUGCCAUCAUUUAGUUGGGCACUCUAUGGAGACUGCCGGUGUUAAACCGGAGGAAGGCGGGGAUGACGUCAAGUCCUCAUGGCCUUUAUAUCCAGGGCUACACACGUGCUACAAUGGCCGGUACAAAGGGUUGCCAACCCGCGAGGGGGAGCUAAUCUCAGAAAGCCGGUCUCAGUUCGGAUUGAAGUCUGCAAUUCGACUUCAUGAAGCUGGAAUCGCUAGUAAUCGCAGAUCAGAACGCUGCGGUGAAUACGUUCCCGGGCCUUGUACACACCGCAUAC
RNAcentral lists this ribosomal RNA (438 nucleotides) under uncultured bacterium. RNAcentral describes it as "bacterial SSU rRNA". It matches the Rfam family "Bacterial small subunit ribosomal RNA", at positions 958 to 1397 of the family's 1533-position model. The record is from RNAcentral.